GCGGUUUGUGGUUAAGCGGAGGGAUCAUUACCGAGUUUACAACUCCCAAACCCCUGUGAACAUACCUUUAUGUUGCCUCGGCGGAUCAGCCCGCGCCCCGUAAAACGGGACGGCCCGCCGCAGGAACCACAAAACUCUGAUUUUAGUGUAACUUCUGAGUCUAAAAAACAAAUAAAUCAAAACUUUCAACAACGGAUCUCUUGGUUCUGGCAUCGAUGAAGAACGCAGCAAAAUGCGAUAAGUAAUGUGAAUUGCAGAAUUCAGUGAAUCAUCGAAUCUUUGAACGCACAUUGCGCCCGCCAGUAUUCUGGCGGGCAUGCCUGUUCGAGCGUCAUUUCAACCCUCAAGCCCCCGGGUUUGGUGUUGGGGAUCGGGCUGUACUCCAGCCCGGCCCCGAAAUCUAGUGGCGGUCUCGCUGCAGCCUCCAUUGCGUAGUAGCUAACACCUCGCAACUGGAACGCGGCGCGGCCAAGCCGUUAAACCCCCAACUUCUGAAUGUUGACCUCGGAUCAGGUAGGAAUACCCGCUGAACUUAAGCAUAUCAAUAAGCGGAGGAA
This 557-nucleotide ribosomal RNA is filed under the name Fusarium brachygibbosum. RNAcentral describes it as "eukaryotic LSU rRNA". The stretch from base 181 to 334 matches the Rfam family "5.8S ribosomal RNA". The record is from RNAcentral. Lineage: Eukaryota; Fungi; Ascomycota; Sordariomycetes; Hypocreales; Nectriaceae.